RNAcentral lists this small nuclear RNA (308 nucleotides) under Prolemur simus (greater bamboo lemur). RNAcentral describes it as "7SK RNA (ENSPSMG00000010627.1)". It matches the Rfam family "7SK RNA". Rfam says of the family: 7SK was discovered as an abundant small nuclear RNA in the mid-70s but a possible function has only recently been suggested. Two independent studies have found that 7SK RNA binds the CDK9/cyclin T complex (known as elongation factor P-TEFb). P-TEFb activates transcription by phosphorylating the C-terminal domain of RNA polymerase II. The record is from RNAcentral. Lineage: Eukaryota; Metazoa; Chordata; Mammalia; Primates; Lemuridae.
GGAUGUGAGGGUGAUCUGGCUGUGACAUCUGUCACCCCAUUGAUCGCCAGGGUUGAUUCAGCUGAUCUGGCUUGCUAGACGGGCAUUCCCUUCCUCCCUCACCACUCCAUGUGUGUCUCUCCCGAAGCUGAAUGCUCAGUCAAAGAGGAUGACCUUCCCUGAUAGAGGAGGACCAUUCUUUAGUCAAGGGUAUACAAUAGCUGUGCUCCCCUGAUGGAGCCUCCAAACAAGCUCUUAAGAAAUGCCUUCAGAUGACUUCAUGUCCCGCUUCUUACUUUCUAGGAAUUGAAGGAGCAAUUAUGUCACCU